RNAcentral lists this ribosomal RNA (253 nucleotides) under uncultured bacterium. RNAcentral describes it as "partial 16S ribosomal RNA". It matches the Rfam family "Bacterial small subunit ribosomal RNA", at positions 524 to 776 of the family's 1533-position model. The record is from RNAcentral.
UACGUAGGUGGCAAGCGUUGUCCGGAUUUACUGGGCGUAAAGAGCGCGCAGGCGGUCGUCCAAGUCGCGUGUGAAAGCCCCCGGCUCAACUGGGGAGGGUCACGCGAUACUGGUCGACUCGAAGGCAGGAGAGGGUAGUGGAAUUCCCGGUGUAGUGGUGAAAUGCGUAGAUAUCGGGAGGAACACCAGCGGUGUAGACGGCUUUCUGGACCGUAGCUGACGCUGAGACACGAAAGCGUGGGUAGCAAACAGG